UACGAAAGGGGCAAGCGUUGUCCGGAAUGAUUGGGCGUAAGGGGCGCGUUGGCGGCCCGGUAAGUCUGAAGUGAAAGUCCUGUUUUUAAGAUGGGAAUUGCUUUGGAUACUGUCGGGCUUGAGUGCAGGAGAGGUAAGUGGAAUUCCCAGUGUAGCGGUGAAAUGCGUAGAGAUUGGGAGGAACACCAGUGGCGAAGGCGACUUACUGGACUGUAACUGACGCUGAGGCGCGAAAGUGUGGGGAGCAAAC
RNAcentral lists this ribosomal RNA (250 nucleotides) under uncultured prokaryote. RNAcentral's name for it is "partial 16S ribosomal RNA". It matches the Rfam family "Bacterial small subunit ribosomal RNA", at positions 524 to 773 of the family's 1533-position model. The record is from RNAcentral.